Manduca sexta (tobacco hornworm) is the source of this 58-nucleotide non-coding RNA. Lineage: Eukaryota; Metazoa; Arthropoda; Insecta; Lepidoptera; Sphingidae. The record is from Rfam.
CACGCGGUAUUAGCCCUGUGAAUGUGUUCCCGGUACAAUCACAGGAUAAUACUGCGAG